This 465-nucleotide ribosomal RNA is filed under the name uncultured bacterium. RNAcentral describes it as "partial 16S ribosomal RNA". It matches the Rfam family "Bacterial small subunit ribosomal RNA", at positions 28 to 507 of the family's 1533-position model. The record is from RNAcentral.
GACGAACGCUGGCGGCGUGCUUAACACAUGCAAGUCGAACGGAAAGGCCCUGCUUGCAGGGUACUCGAGUGGCGAACGGGUGAGUAACACGUGGGCGAUCUGCCCUGCACUUCGGGAUAAGCCUGGGAAACUGGGUCUAAUACCGGAUAGGAGCCAUUUUUAGUGUGAUGGUUGGAAAGUUUUUUCGGUGUAGGAUGAGCUCGCGGCCUAUCAGCUUGUUGGUGGGGUAAUGGCCUACCAAGGCGGCGACGGGUAGCCGGCCUGAGAGGGUGGACGGCCACAUUGGGACUGAGAUACGGCCCAGACGCCUACGGGAGGCAGCAGUGGGGAAUAUUGCACAAUGGGCGCAAGCCUGAUGCAGCGACGCCGCGUGGGGGAUGACGGCCUUCGGGUUGGAAACUCCUUUCGCUAGGGACGAAGCUUUUUGUGACGGUACCUAGAUAAGAAGCACCGGCUAACUACGUG